This 468-nucleotide ribosomal RNA is filed under the name uncultured bacterium. RNAcentral describes it as "partial 16S ribosomal RNA". It matches the Rfam family "Bacterial small subunit ribosomal RNA", at positions 28 to 507 of the family's 1533-position model. The record is from RNAcentral.
GACGAACGCUGGCGGCGUGCUUAACACAUGCAAGUCGAACGGAAAGGCCCUGCUUUUGUGGGGUGCUCGAUUGGCGAACGGGUGAGUAACACGUGAGUAACCUGCCCCUGACUUUGGGAUAACUUCACGAAACUGGGGCUAAUACAGGAUAGGAGCUCCUGCUGCAUGUGGGGGGUUGGAGAGUUUCGGCGGUUGGGGAUGGACUCGCGGCUUAUCAGCUUGUUGGUGGGGUAGUGGCUUACCAAGGCUUUGACGGGUAGCCGGCCUGAGAGGGUGACCGGCGUCAUUGGGACUGCGAUACGGACCAGAAUCCUACGGGAGGCAGCAGUGGGGAAUAUUACACAAUGGGCGGAAGCCUGAUGCAGAGACGCCGCGUGCGGGAUGACGGGCUUCGGGUUGUAAACCGCUUUCGCAUGUGACGAAGCGUGAGUGACGGUAAUGAGUAAAGAAGCACCGGCUAACUACGUG